RNAcentral lists this long non-coding RNA (542 nucleotides) under Ananas comosus (pineapple). RNAcentral's name for it is "long non-coding RNA (ACOM_LNC033822)". The record is from RNAcentral. Lineage: Eukaryota; Viridiplantae; Streptophyta; Magnoliopsida; Poales; Bromeliaceae.
AAAUGUUAGGUUUGAGAGAAAGAUACUGUAUUAUCUGCUUCAUUUAUUUUUUUUUAGAAAUAAAUUUAGAUGGAAAUACAUAUCAAUUAGAAUCCGAACUAAGGACAUCGGAUACCAACCAUCAAGCCCUUUACCACUUUUACUACGGACAGUCGGUAAGAACAAUGGUUGUUUUAUAAAAUUAAACAUUAUAUUAAAAUAAGAGAUUCUAAUUUUGAAUUCCGCGAGGCUCCUAAUAUUAUUUAAUUUCCUCCCAUUUCAUUAGGCACAUGUUUUGGAUCUGUUAAAAAUUUUUGAGUCCACACAUGAUGGAGAGUGUUGAAUCUAAAUUAUAAAAAAAAUUUCAAAUACUACCUCUAUGGUUUCGCAUUUUCUCGCUUUAGUACUAUAUAAUUUAAAAUGUAUUACUUUCGUACUCUAUGAUUUUAUUUUAUUUUUUUAUUAUCUCUUCUGCUAAGUUUUUUCGUUAAAUCAGUGAUUUAAACUUUUGGAGAUAAACGAUUAUUUUAUAUAAUUUAACAUAUUUCAACAGUACUCUAGUU